AGAACAGGUCGGGCGGUCGCUGCUGGAACCUUCCCGAUUUCAGACUUGGAAGCUUUCAGGUCUGGGAUCAAUCUGAACGAAAUUUAGUAAAUCCAGUAGAGGAAAGUCCGAACACUAUAGGGCAGCGAGCCCGCUAACGGCGGGGCGUCUGAUAAAUCCCAGAUCCCAGGCAUCGCCUCCAGCUUUCAAGGGACAGGAGUCGAAACCUGCGAUCUGGGAUUAAUCGGACGACGACAAGUGCAACAGAAAGUAGACCAGCCCUUCUGAGAUCAGAAAGGUGAUGGGUGAAAUGGUGCGGCCCGCAAGGGCUUAAAGUAAGAGCGCACCGGCGUAUGUGGUGACACGUACGGCCAGGCAAACUCCUCGCAGUGCAAGAUCAAAUAGGGAGGCGUCAACAGGGCUGCCCGCCCGAAUCCCGAUUUAUCGGGAUACGACCUCCGGGUAGAUCGCUUGAUCCAUCUGGCAACAGCUGGACUAGAUGAAUGAUCGCCAUUCCGAUGCGAAAGCAUCGGGAUACAGAAUUCGGCUUAUAGACCUGUUCUCCUU
This 546-nucleotide RNase P RNA is filed under the name Acidobacteriota bacterium. RNAcentral describes it as "RNase P RNA component class A". It matches the Rfam family "Bacterial RNase P class A". Rfam says of the family: Ribonuclease P (RNase P) is a ubiquitous endoribonuclease, found in archaea, bacteria and eukarya as well as chloroplasts and mitochondria. Lineage: Bacteria; Pseudomonadati; Acidobacteriota. The record is from RNAcentral.